Molecule: ribosomal RNA, 497 nt
Filed under: uncultured bacterium
Lineage: Bacteria
Description: partial 16S ribosomal RNA
Rfam family: Bacterial small subunit ribosomal RNA
Source: RNAcentral
GAUGAACGCUGGCGGCGUGCCUAAUACAUGCAAGUCGAGCGAACGGACGAGAAGCUUGCUUCUCUGACGUUAGCGGCGGACGGGUGAGUAACACGUGGAUAACCUACCUAUAAGACUGGGAUAACUUCGGGAAACCGGAGCUAAUACCGGAUAAUAUUUUGAACCGCAUGGUUCAAAAGUGAAAGACGGUUUUGCUGUCACUUAUAGAUGGAUCCGCGCUGCAUUAGCUAGUUGGUAAGGUAACGGCUUACCAAGGCAACGAUGCAUAGCCGACCUGCGAGGGUGAUCGGCCACACUGGAACUGAGACACGGUCCAGACUCCUACGGGAGGCAGCAGUAGGGAAUCUUCCGCAAUGGGCGAAAGCCUGACGGAGCAACGCCGCGUGAGUGAUGAAGGUCUUCGGAUCGUAAAACUCUGUUAUUAGGGAAGAACAAAUGUGUAAGUAACUGUGCACAUCUUGACGGUACCUAAUCAGAAAGCCACGGCUAACUACGUG